Ailuropoda melanoleuca (giant panda) is the source of this 2519-nucleotide RNA transcript. It is a transcript of the gene named X-ray repair cross complementing 1, with no coding region annotated. The record is from RefSeq and is a predicted model, not a curated record. Lineage: Eukaryota; Metazoa; Chordata; Mammalia; Carnivora; Ursidae. The transcript has 20 exons.
GCUUGCGCACUUCAGCCCGCGCAGGGAGCACCACCCCCCCUCAACGACCCCCCCCGCAGUCGGACCUUCUUUCAUCCUUCGCGCCAGGCGAAGCCCGGGACGUUGACAUGCCGGAGAUCCGGCUUCGCCAUGUGGUGUCCUGCAGUAGCCAGGACUCGACCCACUGUGCAGAAAACCUUCUCAAGGCGGACACUUACCGAAAAUGGCGAGCAGCCAAGGCAGGCGAGAAGACUAUCUCUGUGGUGCUCCAGUUGGAGAAGGAGGAACAGAUACACAGCGUGGACAUCGGCAAUGACGGCUCGGCCUUUGUGGAGGUGCUGGUGGGCAGCUCGGCCGGAGGGGCUGGGGAGCAAGACUACGAGUGCCUUUUGCUGGAGCUGAUGAAGUCCAAUCAAUCAAGGGUCCUGCUGGUCACUUCAUCUUUUAUGUCCCCUUCCGAGAGCCGCAGUGGCUCAAACCCCAAUCGUGUUCGCAUUUUUGGGCCUGACAAGUUGGUCCGGGCAGCAGCAGAGAAGCGCUGGGACCGCGUCAAAAUUGUUUGCAGCCAGCCCUACAGCAAGGACUCCCCGUAUGGCCUGAGUUUUAUACGGUUUCACAGCCCCCCAGACAAAGAGGAGGCAGAGGCCUCACCCCAGAAGGUGACGAAGCUUGGCCAGUUCCGCGUGAAGGAGGAGGAUGAGGGUGCCAGCUCCUUGAGACCUGGGGCCCUCUUCUUCAGCAGGAUCAAUAAGACCCCCCCAGCCGCAGCCAGUGACCCGGCAGGACCCAGCUAUGCAGCUGCUACCCUGCAGGCCUCUAGUGCCGCCUCUUCAGCCUCUCCGGUCUCCAGGACAGUAGGCGGCAGCUCCAAGCCUCAAGAGUCCCCCAAAGGCAAGAGAAAGUUGGAUUUGAACCAAGAAGAAAGGAAGAUGCCCAGCAAACCAUCAGCCCAGUCCUCACCACCAGCCGUCAAGAGACCCAAAUUGCCAGCUCCCACCCGCACCCCAGCCACCACCCCAGUCUCUGCCCCAGCACGAGGCACAGUGCCAGGAAAGACCCGAGAAGGCACCGAACCCAGGGGACCCCGAGCUGGCCCGCAGGAGCUGGGGAAGAUCCUUCAGGGUGUGGUGGUGGUGCUGAGUGGCUUCCAGAACCCCUUCCGCUCAGAGCUCCGAGACAAGGCCCUGGAGCUGGGGGCCAAAUAUCGGCCAGACUGGACUCCAGACAGCACCCACCUCAUCUGUGCCUUUGCCAACACCCCCAAGUACAGCCAGGUCCUAGGUCUCGGAGGCCGCAUCGUGCGGAAAGAGUGGGUGCUGGACUGUCACCGAAUGCGGCGUCGGCUGCCCUCACGGAGGUACCUCAUGGCAGGGCCAGGCUCCAGCAGUGAGGAUGAAGGGACCUCUCAUAGUGGCGGCAGCGGGGAUGAAGCCCCCAAGCUUCCCCAAAAGCGCCCCCAGACCAAAACCAAGCCCCCUCAGGCAGCAGGACCCAGCUCACCUCAGAGACCCAAAACGCCAGAAGAGACCAAACCAGCCUCACCAGGGCCCCAGGAAGAUACCGACACUGACGGGGAGCAUUCAGAAGAACAGGGCAAUGGGGCAGAAGACUCUGGGGAUACCGAGGAUGAGCUGAGAAGGGUGGCCGAGCAGAGGGAGCAAAAGCAGCCCCCUGACCAGGGGGAGAAUGGCGAGGACCCGUAUGCAGGAUCCACAGAUGAGAACACAGACAACGAGGGUCCCCCAGAGUCUCCCGACCUGCCAGUUCCUGAGCUCCCAGACUUCUUCCAGGGCAAACACUUCUUCCUGUACGGAGAGUUCCCCGGAGAUGAGCGGCGGAAGCUCAGCCGAUAUGUCACAGCCUUCAAUGGGGAGCUUGAGGACUACAUGAGCGACCGGGUCCAGUUUGUGAUCACAGCACAGGAGUGGGACCCCAGUUUUGAGGAGGCCCUGAUGGACAACCCCUCCUUGGUGUUCGUCCGCCCCCGAUGGAUCUACAGUUGCAACGAGAAGCAGAAGUUACUUCCCCACCAGCUUUAUGGGGUGGUGCCCCACGCCUAAAGUGAGCAAAGAAUUCCUCAGCCUUAUAAGUUGGAGCCCAGUGUGGAGCCAGUCUCCCUGCCAGCUGUCUGGUCGAGGUUAUGGAAAAUUUCAAACAUAACCAAAAGGAGAGGAAGAGUAUAAUCAGCCCCUCACCAGCCCAUCACCCAGGUUCAUCAUGACCAAUCUUCUUCCACCUCCCCCUGCCCCUUAAGGUCCUUGAAGCAAACUCCACACAUUUCAUCCAGAAACACUUCAGUGUGUGUCUCUAAAAAAUAAGGACUCUCUUUCAGUCUUUUAAACACAACCCAAAGUAUCAGUACCAAACUUUUAAACUUUAGAGUCGUUUCUUUACAUUAUCACAUUUCUCCCAUGGUCCCAUGUAUAUCUUGUUUUUCCUUUCCAGAACAAUGUUUUCUUUCAAACAUACAGAAAAUGUGAGAGAACAGAAUUGUUCUCUGCGUUAAUAAUACAAGUGGCGCCAGCAUCAACAAUUUUCUA